Molecule: non-coding RNA, 73 nt
Organism: Trichonephila clavata
Lineage: Eukaryota; Metazoa; Arthropoda; Arachnida; Araneae; Nephilidae
Source: the annotation of a GenBank genome assembly
AUCCUUGUAGCGCAAUGGAUAGCGCGUUGAACUUCUCAUUCAAAGGUCGUGGAUUCAAAUUCCACCGGAAAUG